AGGUGAGGUCCCAGCUUGAAGAGAAAGAAAACAAGAAGUUCCCUGUGUUUAAGGCCGUGUCAUUCAAGAGCCAGGUGGUCGCGGGGACAAACUACUUCAUCAAGGUGCACGUCGGCGACGAGGACUUCGUACACCUGCGAGUGUUCCAAUCUCUCCCUCAUGAAAACAAGCCCUUGACCUUAUCUAACUACCAGACCAACAAAGCCAAGCAUGAUGAGCUGACCUAUUUCUGAUCCUGACUUUGGACAAGGCCCUUCAGCCAGAAGACUGACAAAGUCAUCCUCCGUCUACCAGAGCGUGCACUUGUGAUCCUAAAAUAAGCUUCAUCUCCGGGCUGUGCCCCUUGGGGUGGAAGGGGCAGGAUUCUGCAGCUGCUUUUGCAUUUCUCUUCCUAAAUUUCAUUGUGUUGAUUUCUUUCCUUCCCAAUAGGUGAUCUUAAUUACUUUCAGAAUAUUUUCAAAAUAGAUAUAUUUUUAAA
This 478-nucleotide long non-coding RNA is filed under the name Homo sapiens (human). Its description in RNAcentral is "HSALNT0274316". Lineage: Eukaryota; Metazoa; Chordata; Mammalia; Primates; Hominidae. The record is from RNAcentral.